ACGGGAGGCAGCAGUGGGGAAUCUUGCGCAAUGGGCGAAAGCCUGACGCAGCGACGCCGCGUGAGGGAAGAAGGCCUUCGGGUUGUAAACCUCUUUCAGGAGGGACGAAGCCACUCGGGUUAAUACCCCAGAGGGUGACGGUACCUCCAGAAGAAGCCCCGGCUAACUACGUGCCAGCAGCCGCGGUAAUACGUAGGGGGCAAGCGUUGUCCGGAAUCAUUGGGCGUAAAGCGCGUGUAGGCGGCCAGGUAGGUCUGCUGUGAAAACUCGAGGCUCAACUUCGAGAUGUCGGCGGAAACCAUCUGGCUAGAGUCCGGAAGAGGAGAGUAGAAUUCCUGGUGUAGCGGUGAAAUGCGCAGAUAUCAGGAGGAAUACCCGUGGCGAAAGCGGCUCUCUGGGACGGUACUGACGCUGAGACGCGAAAGCGUGGGGAGCAAACAGGAUUAGAUACCCUGGUA
This 458-nucleotide ribosomal RNA is filed under the name uncultured Gaiellales bacterium. RNAcentral's name for it is "bacterial SSU rRNA". It matches the Rfam family "Bacterial small subunit ribosomal RNA", at positions 341 to 792 of the family's 1533-position model. The record is from RNAcentral. Lineage: Bacteria; Bacillati; Actinomycetota; Thermoleophilia; Gaiellales.